GUCGGACCUGCCCGUGCAGCGACGAUUACGCAUGCGUUCCUCUUCAGAUCUAGGCACAAGUGCAGCUUAGCCUUGGCCGAAACUCGGAUUUCCUGUGCUGCAUACCUACUAGAUGGAAUUUUCUCGUCGAUUAUCGAACGAUCGCCUAAUGCCACCCUUGUUGGUGGCUGCGGGUGAUCCACAAAGCGAUAUUUGUGAUCCUAGGUGCGGAGUACCCGUACUCGUUGUCUAGGCCCACAUUUCUCUGCUCGGACUGAGGGAUUUGGAAUAUGCUGUGGGCAUAGGGUCUUAUCCCUUGUUUGCCCCAAUAAUUGAAAACAUCCAAACGACGUUCGAUGGUGUGCUGGCUCUAGGGCCCCGCAUCUCGAUGUCCGCGAGGAAUGCUACCU
This 389-nucleotide unclassified non-coding RNA is filed under the name Galium baldensiforme. RNAcentral describes it as "partial external transcribed spacer". The record is from RNAcentral. Lineage: Eukaryota; Viridiplantae; Streptophyta; Magnoliopsida; Gentianales; Rubiaceae.